Molecule: unclassified non-coding RNA, 256 nt
Filed under: fungal sp.
Lineage: Eukaryota; Fungi
Description: partial internal transcribed spacer region
Rfam family: Eukaryotic small subunit ribosomal RNA (bases 1-46)
Source: RNAcentral
AAGUCGUAACAAGGUUUCCGUAGGUGAACCUGCGGAAGGAUCAUUACCGAGUUAGGGUCUUUAUGGCCUGAUCUCCAACCCUUUGUUUAUUAUACCGUGUUGCUUUGGCAGGCCUGCCUUUCGGGGCUGCCGGGGGCACUACUGCCCCUGAUUCGUGCCUGCCAGGAGCCUUCCCUAAAUUCUGUGUUAAAACUAUCGUGUCUGAGUCCUAAUAUCAAAUUAUAAAAAACUUUCAACAACGGAUCUCUUGGUUCUG